Molecule: ribosomal RNA, 487 nt
Filed under: Blastocystis sp.
Lineage: Eukaryota; Bigyra; Opalinata; Blastocystidae
Description: SSU rRNA
Source: RNAcentral
UAUAAAUAAUUUUACUUUGAAACUGCGAAUGGCUCAUUAUAUCAGUUAUAGUUUAUUAGAAAUAUUUUACUACUUGGAUAACCGUAGUAAUUCUAGGGCUAAUACAUGARURAAWCCUCAACUUCGGAAGAGGUGUGUUUAUUAGUAUGAAAACCAUAUAUCUUCGGAUAUAAUAGUGAGUAAUAAUAACCUUUCAUAUCGUAUGUCGUAAGAUAACGAUAGUUCUUUCAAGUUUCUGCCCUAUCAGCUUUCGAUGGUAGUAUAUGGGACUACCAUGGCAGUAACGGGUAACGAAGAAUUUGGGUUCGAUUUCGGAGAGGGAGCCUGAGAGAUGGCUACCACAUCCAAGGAAGGCAGCAGGCGCGUAAAUUACCCAAUCCUGACAUAGGGAGGUAGUGACAAUAAAUCACAAUGCGGAACUUUUAGUUUUGCAAUUGGAUUGAGAACAAUGUACAAAUGUUAUCGAUAAACAAUUGGAGGGCAAGUC